RNAcentral lists this signal recognition particle RNA (297 nucleotides) under Saimiri boliviensis boliviensis (Bolivian squirrel monkey). RNAcentral's name for it is "Metazoan signal recognition particle RNA (ENSSBOG00000004181.1)". It matches the Rfam family "Metazoan signal recognition particle RNA". From Rfam's summary of the family: The signal recognition particle (SRP) is a universally conserved ribonucleoprotein. It is involved in the co-translational targeting of proteins to membranes. The record is from Rfam by way of RNAcentral. Lineage: Eukaryota; Metazoa; Chordata; Mammalia; Primates; Cebidae.
GCUGGGUGCAGUGUGCAUGCCUGUAGUCCCAGCUACUUGGGAGGCUGAGGUGGGAAGAUCACUUGAGCCCAGGAGUUCUGGGCUGUAGUGCGCUAUACCGAUCGGGUGUCCACACUAAGUUUGGCAUCAAUGUGGUAACCUCCUGGGAGCAGAGGACCACCAGGAUGCCUAAGGAGUGGUGAACCAGCCCAGGUCAGAAAUGGAGCAGGUCAAAACUCCUGUGCUGAUCAGUAGUAGGAUUGCGCCUGCGAAUAGCCACUGCACUCCAGCCUGGGCAACAUAGCGAGACCCCCUAAU